AGAGUUUGAUCCUGGCUCAGGACGAACGCUGGCGGCGCGCUUAACACAUGCAAGUCGUACGGGGCUCUUCGGAGCUCAGUGGCGAACGGGUGCGUAACACGUGAGUGACCUGCCCUUGCGCGGGGGAUAACCCGGGGAAACCCGGGCUAAUACCGCAUGCGCUCAUGGAGGCUUAUGGCUUCUUGAGGAAAGGUGCUGAAAGGCACUGUGCUUGGAGGGGCUCGCGGCGUAUCAGGUAGUUGGUGGGGUAACGGCCUACCAAGCCUAUGACGCGUAGGGGGUCUGAGAGGAUGACCCCCCACAUUGGGACAUGAGAUACGGCCCAGACUCCUACGGGAGGCAGCAGUGGGGAAUCUUGCGCAAUGGCCGAAAGGCUGACGCAGCGACGCCGCGUGCGGGAGGACGCUUUUCGGAGUGUAAACCGCUGUCAGGUGGGACGAAGGUCCCGGGCAGGAAAUGGCCUGGGGAUGACGGUACCACCAGAGGAAGCACCGGC
This 496-nucleotide ribosomal RNA is filed under the name uncultured bacterium. RNAcentral's name for it is "bacterial SSU rRNA". It matches the Rfam family "Bacterial small subunit ribosomal RNA", at positions 8 to 497 of the family's 1533-position model. The record is from RNAcentral.